GAUGAACGCUGGCGGCGUGCCUAAUACAUGCAAGUCGAGCGAACAGACGAGGAGCUUGCUCCUCUGACGUUAGCGGCGGACGGGUGAGUAACACGUGGAUAACCUACCUAUAAGACUGGGAUAACUUCGGGAAACCGGAGCUAAUACCGGAUAAUAUAUUGAACCGCAUGGUUCAAUAGUGAAAGACGGUUUUGCUGUCACUUAUAGAUGGAUCCGCGCCGCAUUAGCUAGUUGGUAAGGUAACGGCUUACCAAGGCAACGAUGCGUAGCCGACCUGAGAGGGUGAUCGGCCACACUGGAACUGAGACACGGUCCAGACUCCUACGGGAGGCAGCAGUAGGGAAUCUUCCGAAAUGGGCGAAAGCCUGACGGAGCAACGCCGCGUGAGGGAUGAAGGUCUUCGGAUCGUAAAACUCUGUUAUUAGGGAAGAACAAAUGUGUAAGUAACUAUGCACGUCUUGACGGUACCUAAUCAGAAAGCCACGGCUAACUACGUG
RNAcentral lists this ribosomal RNA (497 nucleotides) under uncultured bacterium. RNAcentral describes it as "partial 16S ribosomal RNA". It matches the Rfam family "Bacterial small subunit ribosomal RNA", at positions 28 to 507 of the family's 1533-position model. The record is from RNAcentral.